CUUUCCACAUGAGAAGAAGCUGGAAAACGAAGCUUCUCUGUGAGAGAGUUUCUUAUGAUAUAGGAGUCCUGUGUUGGCAGAAGGAAUAAAUAAGGAUUCAGCCUCAUACCUCAAAGCAACAGUCAGCAGGGUGCUCGCUGCUCUCCGUUCGAUUACGGGCAGGGACCCCCAACUCCCCAGGCUUCGCUGGCUCAUGGUUACACCGCCAUACCAAGAAUCGCCACAGGCUGCAAGAAAUAUCUUUCUUCGGUAUCUAAUUCCCAGGAUGCUCAGGAUUAAUCCCUGCACGUGUGCCACUCUGCUCUGGAUUUGCAUGGAUCUCGCUUCGCGGCCCUGGAAAGAAUCCGUCUGCACUGGAACACAAGCAACGGAGCCCAGCAUCUGCAUGCCACAGAAGCUGUUUGCAAUCAGGCAGGACACGAACCAGAAGCUCGUUUCGGAUUCCGGCAGCGAAUCUGCUUGUCAAAAUUUGACAAAGGGCUCCGGCUUGGCUGUCAAGUUGUAAGUUGGCCAACUUGACAUAAAUCAUGAGCCUUUCCCGUGCCCCCGGCUAACGCGAACAACGCACCCGCCCAGGGUCAUGGAAGGCCCUGUGGAAAAUGAGGAUGCGACUCUGGAAAACCGUCAUCUCGACAAAAAAAAAAAACAUGCGCGAGAACAAAACAGGCGUGUGCGUUUCGCUGUCACAGAUUCUGGAUCUGUUUAAUUCGUAUGAUGUACAUAAGGGGCAGUCCAAAAAUGAAUCCCAUCUGGGUUUGUCAGUCUGGGAAGGGAGAGGUGCAGAGUGUGUGUCAGUCUCAGACAAGCCCCAUUAGAAUUCUGGCUACAGAUGUCCACCCCGCCUAGCCCACCCAGGCAAGGUCCCUAACGAAAAUGAGCCCAACGGAGGACGGGGGCCUAUCAGAAUGACCGAGGACAAUCACAGGGGCGAGCGAGCAUCCUGCUCUGCCCUCAGCACCAUCAUACCAUGCUC
Molecule: long non-coding RNA, 973 nt
Organism: Brienomyrus brachyistius
Lineage: Eukaryota; Metazoa; Chordata; Actinopteri; Osteoglossiformes; Mormyridae
Exons: 3
Source: RefSeq, a predicted model, not a curated record